UCCUCUCUUCCCUUGUCUCCUUCUUCUAAUCUCCUUCGUCUUCUCCACAAAGCACUCGUCUUCUUUCACAAAACUCUCUUCUUUUUUCUUAACCUUCUUCAUCUGCUCCUUUCAUUAGGGAUAGCUCCAUAUGAAACUAUCCUUCAUUUCUUCCACCAGACAUAAUUUUCUCCUCCACUUACCAUUAUAAUAUUCUUCCUUCUCUUAUCUUCAUUUG
Molecule: long non-coding RNA, 217 nt
Filed under: Elaeis guineensis (African oil palm)
Lineage: Eukaryota; Viridiplantae; Streptophyta; Magnoliopsida; Arecales; Arecaceae
Description: long non-coding RNA (EGUI_LNC066056)
Source: RNAcentral